RNAcentral lists this ribosomal RNA (2349 nucleotides) under human gut metagenome. RNAcentral describes it as "bacterial LSU rRNA". It matches the Rfam family "Bacterial large subunit ribosomal RNA", at positions 496 to 2841 of the family's 2925-position model. The record is from RNAcentral.
AAGUACCGUGAGGGAAAGGUGAAAAGAACCCCGGGAGGGGAGUGAAAUAGAAACUGAAACCGUAUGCUUACAAAAAGUUCGAGCACAUUAAUGUGUGAGAGCGUGCCUUUUGCAGAAUGAACCGGCGAGUUAUUGUAUUAUGCAAGGUUAAGUCGAACAGAUGGAGCCGAAGCGAAAGCGAGUCUGAAUAGGGCGCUUAAGUAUGAUGCAAUAGACCCGAAACCGAGUGAUCUAGCCAUGAGCAGGUUGAAGUUGGGGUAAGACCCAAUGGAGGACCGAACCGAUAUGCCCGGAAACGCGUACGGAUGACUUGUGGUUAGCGGAGAAAUUCCAAACGAACUCGGAGAUAGCUGGUUCUCCCCGAAAUAGGUUUAGGCCUAGCCUUGAUUGAAUCUGCCCGGAGGUAGAGCACUGAAUGUGCGAUGGCGUCGUCUAGAUGUACUGAGUACAAUCAAACUCCGAAUGCUGGGUAGUACUAAUCAGGAGUCACUGUAUGGGUGAUAACGUCCAUACGGGAGAGGAAAAGAAUCCGGAUCGCCAGCUAAGGUCCCAAAAUUUGUGUUAAGUGGGAAAGGAUGUAGAGUUGUCAAAACAGCUAGGAGGUUGGCUUAGAAGCAGCCACCCUUUAAAGAGUGCGUAAUAGCUCACUAGUCGAGUGACACUGCGCCGAAGAUGUACCGGGGCUAAACACAAUACCGAAGCUGCGGACUUGCAUGUAAGUGCAAGUGGUAGGGGAGCGUUCUAAGUGCUGAGAAGGUAGACCGUAAGGACUGCUGGAGCGCUUAGAAGUGAGAAUGCCGGUGUGAGUAACGAAAAUUGGGUGAGAAUCCCAUUCACCGUUUGACUAAGGGUUCCUGGGUAAAGUUCGUCUUCCCAGGGUAAGUCAGGACCUAAGAUGAGGCUGAAAAGCGUAGUCGAUGGACAACAGGUUGAUAUUCCUGUACCACCUAUAUGACUGAAGGAGUGACGGAGAAAGCUAGUGAGAGCCAGUUAAUGGAUUCUGGUCUAAGUGCGUAGGCUAGUAUGUUGGCAAAUCCGCAAUACUAUAACAGCUGAAACAUGAUGGGGAAGAGAGUCUUCGGACAAUCGAACUUUCAUGAUGCUAUGCUUCCAAGAAAAGCUUCUAGGGUUAAUCGUAUAGGUGCCUGUACCGACAACCGACACAGGUGGUCAAGGAGAGUAUCCUAAGGUGAGCGAGAGAACUAUGGUUAAGGAACUCGGCAAAAUGACCCCGUAACUUCGGGAGAAGGGGUGGUCUAGCGAUAGACCCGCAGUGAAUAGGCCCAGGCAACUGUUUACCAAAAACACAGGUCUCUGCUAACACGUAAGUGGAUGUAUAGGGGCUGACGCCUGCCCAGUGCUGGAAGGUUAAAGAGAUUAGUUAGUAUGACGUAAGUCGAUAAUACGAAGCUUUGAACUGAAGCCCCAGUGAACGGCGGCCGUAACUAUAACGGUCCUAAGGUAGCGAAAUUCCUUGUCAGGUAAGUUCUGACCCGCACGAAAGGUGUAACGAUCUGGGCACUGUCUCAACAACCCGCCCGGCGAAAUUGUAGUACCGGUGAAGAUGCCGGUUACCCGCGACUAGACGGAAAGACCCCAUGGAGCUUUACUGUAGCCUAAUAUUGGAUUUCGGUAUUUCACGUACAGGAUAGGUGGGAGACUGGGAAGCACAGGCGUCAGCUUGUGUGGAGUCGACCUUGGGAUACCACUCUUGGAGUGCUGGAAUUCUAACCUGCGGCUUUGAAGCAAGUCGAGGGACAUUGUUAGGUGGGCAGUUUGACUGGGGCGGUCGCCUCCUAAAGAGUAACGGAGGCGUUCAAAGGUUCCCUCAGAAUGGUUGGAAAUCAUUCAAAGAGCAUAAAGGUAUAAAGGGAGCUUGACUGCAAGACCUACAAGUCAAGCAGGUGCGAAAGCAGGACUUAGUGAUCAGGCGAUUCAGAAUGGAAUGGUCGUCGCUUAACGGAUAAAAGUUACCCCGGGGAUAACAGGCUGAUACCACCCAAUAGUUCACAUAGACGGUGGUGUUUGGCACCUCGAUGUCGGCUCGUCAUAUCCUGGAGGUGGAGUCGCUUCCAAGGGUUGGGCUGUUCGCCCAUUAAAAUGGCACGCGAGCUGGGUUCAGAACGUCGUGAGACAGUUCGGUCCCUAUCCGUCGUGGGCGUAGGAAAAUUGAGGAGAGCUGUUCCUAGUACGAGAGGACCGGAAUGGACAUACCUCUGGUGUAUCUGUUGUAACGCCAGUUGCAGUGCAGAGUAGCUAUGUAUGGACGGGAUAACCGCUGAAAGCAUCUAAGCGGGAAGCCUCCUCCAAGAUGAAUUUUCCCAUUCUUCGUGAAGUAAGAUUCCUUGU